This 429-nucleotide ribosomal RNA is filed under the name Bacteroidota bacterium. RNAcentral describes it as "Bacteroidetes bacterium partial 16S ribosomal RNA". It matches the Rfam family "Bacterial small subunit ribosomal RNA", at positions 355 to 776 of the family's 1533-position model. The record is from RNAcentral. Lineage: Bacteria; Pseudomonadati; Bacteroidota.
UAGGGAAUCUUCGGCAAUGGGGGGAACCCUGACCGAGCAACGCCGCGUGAGUGAAGAAGGUUUUCGGAUCGUAAAGCUCUGUUGUUAAGGAAGAACGAGUGUGAGAAUGGAAAGUUCAUACUGUGACGGUACUUAACCAGAAAGGGACGGCUAACUACGUGCCAGCAGCCGCGGUAAUACGUAGGUCCCGAGCGUUGUCCGGAUUUAUUGGGCGUAAAGCGAGCGCAGGCGGUUAGAAAAGUCUGAAGUGAAAGGCAGUGGCUCAACCAUUGUAGGCUUUGGAAACUGUUUAACUUGAGUGCAGAAGGGGAGAGUGGAAUUCCAUGUGUAGCGGUGAAAUGCGUAGAUAUAUGGAGGAACACCAGUGGCGAAGGCGACUUUCUGGUCUGUAACUGACGCUGAUGUGCGAAAGCGUGGGGAUCAAACAGG